Long non-coding RNA from Homo sapiens (human), 540 nucleotides. Lineage: Eukaryota; Metazoa; Chordata; Mammalia; Primates; Hominidae. The record is from Ensembl.
GGCCGCGAUGCAUCGCGACUGGUUGUGAAGAGCCAGGGGAAGAACUUUACCGUGCAGGUGACAAUCAGUUGUCUGUGGGUGCCCACCAAACAUCUGAAGAUCCAUCAUGAGCCACACCAGGAAGAGAGGACCCUGGGAAGAGCCAGAGCUCCCUAUACAAGUGAUGGCAUGAAUGAACAUCUCAGAGACAAAGAAAAAGACUGUGAAUACUCGCCAGGUGGAUCUUCCAACAUGGGGCCAAGUCAAACUGGCACAGAUGGCAGAGGCCAACCUCAGAGCACAGAACAAACCAAAAACAACUAGUAACCCAACUGAUCACAAGACAAACAGCCUAGAUUCUGAACAUCAGCUCCUGUCUUCACACUGCGGACACCACCUGAAUCCCGUCAAAGCCCACAUUGUUUCUCAACAUCCACCAGCAAGACGUAUUCCAGGGCAGCCUCUCAAAACUGCCUCAGUGAGACGGGACAAGGUGUGGUGGAGCUCCAGGUUCAGAACAGCUGCCUCAUCCCUUCCUACUGCGGCGGAGUCUGUCUCUGC